GACGAACGCUGGCGGCGUGCCUAAUACAUGCAAGUAGAACGCUGAAGGAGGAGCUUGCUUCUCUGGAUGAGUUGCGAACGGGUGAGUAACGCGUAGGUAACCUACCUGGUAGCGGGGGAUAACUAUUGGAAACGAUAGCUAAUACCGCAUAAGAGUAGAUGUCGCAUGACAUUUGCUUAAAAGGUGCAAUUGCAUCACUACCAGAUGGACCUGCGUUGUAUUAGCUAGUUGGUGAGGUAACGGCUCACCAAGGCAACGAUACAUAGCCGACCUGAGAGGGUGGCGGCCCACACUGGGACUGAGACCCGACCCAGCCCCCUGCGGGGGGACGAAGUAGGGAACCUUCGGAAAUGGCGGGAAGUCUGACCGAGAAAGCCCGCGGGAGUAAAGAGGUUUUUGGGAUCGUAAGGCUUUGUUGAAAGAGAAGAACGAGGGGGAGAGGGGAAAGUUCACACUGUGACGGUAUCUAACCAGAAGGGGCGGGCUACCUACGUC
RNAcentral lists this ribosomal RNA (495 nucleotides) under uncultured bacterium. RNAcentral's name for it is "partial 16S ribosomal RNA". It matches the Rfam family "Bacterial small subunit ribosomal RNA", at positions 28 to 507 of the family's 1533-position model. The record is from RNAcentral.